GCUUCCCUGCUUCAUUUGUUGGUCCCAAAACUGCUGCAAGAAUAGCCUCCUCGAAGUCUUCAUUGCCUGGUAACAGCUCAGACAAUCUCCCCUCUGUUUCAUCAGAUAGCCCCUCUGUUUCAUCAGAUAGCCUUCUUGACUUGUUUUCUGAGUUGUCAGGCUCCACUGGUGGCUUAUUGAGCACUCCCAUUUCAUUCCCUCUGCUCGAAUUUGCAGAAUUUCCUGACCUUGUUCUCUUAAGGGUCUCAUGGAGUUGAUUCCCAGUUGGCUCUUUUGCCAUUUUCCAGGAAUAGAAUGGGGGUGCAUCCACAUUCAGUGAAUUCCCAAAAGUAGCAAACUGUUUGAUACUUUUUUGCUGUGAAAGCACCGUCUGGUAUGCUACUAUAUUUGAAUCUAUGUUCUCAUCGGCAAAAUCAUCAUGCAAUUUGCUUGCAUUUGUUGUUGAUAAGUUGCUAUGAUCCUUGCAAGGCUGAGGCUGCCAAAUGGAUGAUGAACCAAGAAACGCAUCAAAGAGCCUACUCUGUUCAACCCGGUCUCCUCCCUUGUUCAUCAUCUCGGAUUCAAGAUCCUUAAGCAUCUGCUGUGCCCUUUCAUAGGCUUUGAGAUGGGAAUCUAC
RNAcentral lists this long non-coding RNA (616 nucleotides) under Manihot esculenta (cassava). Its description in RNAcentral is "long non-coding RNA (MESC_LNC000855)". Lineage: Eukaryota; Viridiplantae; Streptophyta; Magnoliopsida; Malpighiales; Euphorbiaceae. The record is from RNAcentral.